CAGCAGCCGCGGUAAUACGUAGGGUGCAAGCGUUACUCGGAAUUACUGGGCGUAAAGCGUGCGUAGGUGGUGGUUUAAGUCCGUUGUGAAAGCCCUGGGCUCAACCUGGGAAUUGCAGUGGAUACUGGGUCACUAGAGUGUGGUAGAGGAUAGUGGAAUUUCCGGUGUAGCAGUGAAAUGCGUAGAGAUCGGAAGGAACAUCUGUGGCGAAGGCGACUAUCUGGGCCAACACUGACACUGAGGCACGAAAGCGUGGGGAGCAAACAGGAUUAGAUACCCCUGUAGUCCCUGUCUCUUAUAC
Molecule: ribosomal RNA, 301 nt
Filed under: uncultured bacterium
Lineage: Bacteria
Description: partial 16S ribosomal RNA
Rfam family: Bacterial small subunit ribosomal RNA
Source: RNAcentral